RNAcentral lists this ribosomal RNA (576 nucleotides) under uncultured bacterium. RNAcentral describes it as "bacterial SSU rRNA". It matches the Rfam family "Bacterial small subunit ribosomal RNA", at positions 338 to 916 of the family's 1533-position model. The record is from RNAcentral.
CCUACGGGAGGCAGCAGUGAGGAAUAUUGGACAAUGGGCGCAAGCCUGAUCCAGCCAUGCCGCGUGCAGGAAGAAGCAUCUAUGGUGUGUAAACUGCUUUUGUACAGGAAGAAACACUCCCUCGUGAGGGAGCUUGACGGUACUGUAAGAAUAAGGACCGGCUAACUCCGUGCCAGCAGCCGCGGUGAUACGGAGGGUCCAAGCGUUAUCCGGAAUCAUUGGGUUUAAAGGGUCCGUAGGCGGUUUAAUAAGUCAGUGGUGAAAUCUGGUCGCUCAACGAUCAAACGGCCAUUGAUACUGUUAGACUUGAAUUAUAAGGAAGUAACUAGAAUAUGUAGUGUAGCGGUGAAAUGCUUAGAUAUUACAUGGAAUACCAAUUGCGAAGGCAGGUUACUACUUAUGGAUUGACGCUGAUGGACGAAAGCGUGGGGAGCGAACAGGAUUAGAUACCCUGGUAGUCCACGCCGUAAACGAUGGAUACUAGCUGUUCGGAGCAAUCUGAGUGGCUAAGCGAAAGUGAUAAGUAUCCCACCUGGGGAGUACGUUCGCAAGAAUGAAACUUAAAGGAAUUGACGG